UACGUAGGGUGCGAGCGUUGUCCGGAAUUAUUGGGCGUAAAGGGCUCGUAGGCGGUUUGUCGCGUCGGGAGUGAAAUCCACUGGCUUAACUGGUGGCUUGCUUUCGAUACGGGCAGACUGGAGGUAUGCAGGGGAGACUGGAAUUCCUGGUGUAGCGGUGAAAUGCGCAGAUAUCAGGAAGAACACCCGUGGCGAAGGCGGCUCUCUGGGACGGUACUGACGCUGAGACGCGAAAGCGUGGGGAGCGAACAGG
Molecule: ribosomal RNA, 253 nt
Filed under: uncultured bacterium
Lineage: Bacteria
Description: partial 16S ribosomal RNA
Rfam family: Bacterial small subunit ribosomal RNA
Source: RNAcentral